Molecule: long non-coding RNA, 297 nt
Filed under: Mytilus galloprovincialis (Mediterranean mussel)
Lineage: Eukaryota; Metazoa; Mollusca; Bivalvia; Mytilida; Mytilidae
Source: RNAcentral
UGUAUAAUAUAAAAAAGAAGAUGUGGUAUGAUUGCCAAUGAGACAACUAUCCACAAAAGACCAAAAUGACACAGACAUUAACAACUAUAGGUCACCGUACGGCCUUCAACAAUGAGCAAAGCCCAUACCGCAUAGUCAGCUAUAAAAGGCCCCGAUAAGACAAUGUAAAACAAUUCAAACGAGAAAACUAACGGCCUUAUUUAUGUAAAAAAAAAAAAAAAUGAACGAAAAACAAAUAUGUAACACAUAAACAAACGCCAACCACUGAAUUACAGGCUCCUGACUUGGGACAGGCAC